Molecule: long non-coding RNA, 776 nt
Filed under: Fragaria vesca (wild strawberry)
Lineage: Eukaryota; Viridiplantae; Streptophyta; Magnoliopsida; Rosales; Rosaceae
Description: long non-coding RNA (FVES_LNC002126)
Source: RNAcentral
GGAUAUAUAUGUCUCUGGCUAAAUACCUUGGUUUAAGAGAACAACGUUCAGUCAGAAAUAGAUAGAUAGAUGUGUGUUGUGCCAGGUGAUUUCCAUCUGCACUAACGCCUUGCGUUUAUAUAGGCAAACCUCAGAGUGCCACCACGUACGCUUUCUUUCUUUUUUGAUAUUUUUCUUUGGAAAAUUCUGCUGUGUUUUAUUCCUUUCUUAUUUUACUUUAUUCCUUUUUCUUUGCUUUAAUUUAUUCCUUUCUUAUUCUGGCUUUGAUAUUGGCAGCUGGUCGCUGGAAGAGUUGGUCUUGGCCCAUACUGGACUAAAGACAUCACAGUACGUGUUUGUUGGUCAUCAAUUUCCAUUAUUUUACUACGUACGAUUAAUUAUUUUGCAACUGCAAAUCGCUAACAAAUAAUAUACUUAUCACAUGUAUCACAAUCCUAAGAUUUAAACGAUUAGUUAUUGAUAUAAUGAUAUUCAUCAUCAUUUAUAACCGUGAGAUUUAAAUGACGACAUCUUCUUCUUUUUUUUAAUUUUUAAUUAAUAACUCACACACCUUACAUACAUAUGUCGUGAGGUUUGAACCCAUGACCUCAAAAUUAUCAAUUAAACACUUUAAUCAACCAAAUCACGACUCACAGUCUUUAAACGACGACAUAUAAUUGUUCUUAAGGUUUUAUCUUCUUCUUUUUCACGUUGAAAUGUAUGGAAUUAAGCGGCUAAUGUGCAUGGAAUUACAUUAGCUAGAUUGCUUGGGCAUUUUGUUGGCGCUAAUUUAUAGU